This 236-nucleotide ribosomal RNA is filed under the name uncultured bacterium. RNAcentral's name for it is "partial 16S ribosomal RNA". It matches the Rfam family "Bacterial small subunit ribosomal RNA", at positions 534 to 769 of the family's 1533-position model. The record is from RNAcentral.
GCGAGCGUUGUCCGGAAUUAUUGGGCGUAAAGAGCUCGUAGGCGGUUUGUUGCGUCUGCUGUGAAAACGCGGGGCUUAACUCCGCGCGUGCAGUGGGUACGGGCAGGCUAGAGUGCGGUAGGGGAGAUUGGAAUUCCUGGUGUAGCGGUGGAAUGCGCAGAUAUCAGGAGGAACACCGAUGGCGAAGGCAGAUCUCUGGGCCGUUACUGACGCUGAGGAGCGAAGGCGUGGGUAGC